Long non-coding RNA from Nerophis ophidion (straightnose pipefish), 834 nucleotides. RefSeq lists it as uncharacterized. Lineage: Eukaryota; Metazoa; Chordata; Actinopteri; Syngnathiformes; Syngnathidae. The record is from RefSeq and is a predicted model, not a curated record. The transcript has 4 exons.
AUUAAUACUCUGAAGAACAUCAGAGAAGCUGGACAGACUCCACUCCCAGGAUAAUUUCUGUCUCGCCUCCAAAAGGACCUGGAUAAUUCCCAAGGUCUUAGGGCCUUUAACAUACAGCAUGAGGAGGAGAGGCAUAGGAGAGGACGGGGGCAAGGAGAUGGCCAGAAAGCCACAAGGGAGGGGCAGCGGGCCAGAUUCCAGCAAUAGGUCAUCCACCCUUGCCUAAGUGGCCUGGAAAAAAACCUUCUCCUGCGGUUCCAUGACCUGGACAUACUUGGGGCUUUCAGUGUCUUUGGACCUAAAUCGGCUGCUCAGCAAGAUGACUCUGCUAACAUUGACAAUCUGAGGAUUCUUGCCAAAAAAUUCUGCCCCGAGCAACAGAAUGAGGACCUGCAGGAGUGGACUUCAUUUAAGAACCAUGUCCUUACUGAGGCAUUCAAGGACAAGAACCAGGCUGACAUCCUUACUCUGCUGGCAAGUGAGUUCGACGAAUGUGAUAAUGUCCACCCUUGCCUCAGCCUCCUCGCAGACAUUGCCUUGGUGAUCCCUGUUUCAAGUGUUAAUUGUGAACAAGAUUUUUCUACUCUAAAUAGGGUGAAAACAGAACUGAGGAAUCAGCUGCAAGGAGAACACCUGGCUGCCUGCCUGAGAAUCUCUAUCAACGGACCUGACCCCAGAGACUUUCCUUACGAUAAGGCCUUACACUAUUUUUUUUCGGAAGCCCCGAAAAAUUAAUUGCUCUAACAAAGGGUGCAAAGUCUGCAGGCAGUAGGAAACACAUGGUUAGGUGUAGGGAGUAAAACUGAUGGCAUUGUAAAGUUCAAGAUUUUUGGA